This 97-nucleotide microRNA precursor is filed under the name Chlorocebus sabaeus (green monkey). RNAcentral's name for it is "miRNA (ENSCSAG00000023621.1)". The record is from RNAcentral. Lineage: Eukaryota; Metazoa; Chordata; Mammalia; Primates; Cercopithecidae.
CGCCCACCUCAGCCUCCCAAAGUGCUGGGAUUACAGGCAUGAGUCACUGAACCCGGCCAGACUUUCCUAGUCAUUCUUUGUGCCUAUGUCCUGUAAG